GGUUGUGGCUCAGCGGUAGAGCGCUUGCCUAGCACGUUCGAGGCCCUGGGUUCAAUCUCAGCACCA
This 66-nucleotide transfer RNA is filed under the name Marmota monax (woodchuck). RNAcentral describes it as "tRNA.Ala". Lineage: Eukaryota; Metazoa; Chordata; Mammalia; Rodentia; Sciuridae. The record is from RNAcentral.